RNAcentral lists this ribosomal RNA (468 nucleotides) under uncultured bacterium. RNAcentral describes it as "partial 16S ribosomal RNA". It matches the Rfam family "Bacterial small subunit ribosomal RNA", at positions 28 to 507 of the family's 1533-position model. The record is from RNAcentral.
GACGAACGCUGGCGGCGUGCUUAACACAUGCAAGUCGAACGGAAAGGCCCUGCUUUUGUGGGGUGCUCGAGUGGCGAACGGGUGAGUAACACGUGAGUAACCUGCCCUUGACUUUGGGAUAACUUCAGGAAACUGGGGCUAAUACCGGAUAGGAGCUCCUGCUGCAUGGUGGGGGUUGGAAAGUUUCGGCGGUUGGGGAUGGACUCGCGGCUUAUCAGCUUGUUGGUGGGGUAGUGGCUUACCAAGGCUUUGACGGGUAGCCGGCCUGAGAGGGUGACCGGCCACAUUGGGACUGCGAUACGGCCCAGACUCCUACGGGAGGCAGCAGUAGGGAAUAUAGCACAAUGGACGGAAGCCUGAUGCAGCAACGCCGCGUGCGGGAUGACGGCCUUCGGGUUGUAAACCGCUUUCGCCUGUGACGAAGCGUGAGUGACGGUAAUGGGUAAAGAAGCACCGGCUAACUACGUG